RNAcentral lists this unclassified non-coding RNA (182 nucleotides) under soil metagenome. RNAcentral describes it as "partial contains 5.8S ribosomal RNA, internal transcribed spacer 2, and large subunit ribosomal RNA". The record is from RNAcentral.
AACGCACGAGACCUGCGGACCUGCGGAGGGAUCAUUUAUGAGCGAGCCUUCAUUGGCGAGCAUUAAUAUAUCCAACACACUGUGAACUGUGGACUAUCUCGAUAGCCCAAAUUUUUUACAAAAACUAUUGUGUAAUGAACGUAUUAUACUAUAAUCAAUAAAACUUUCAGCAAUGGAUCUCU